RNAcentral lists this long non-coding RNA (280 nucleotides) under Vitis vinifera (wine grape). RNAcentral describes it as "long non-coding RNA (VVIN_LNC002165)". The record is from RNAcentral. Lineage: Eukaryota; Viridiplantae; Streptophyta; Magnoliopsida; Vitales; Vitaceae.
CAUAAGGUAGCACCCCUCUAAGCCCUAAAAUAGGUUUCUACUAAAUAAAUCAAUGGAUACCAAAGGUAAUAAAAAUGAUGUCUAAAGCUUAACAAGAUGCUAUUCAUAUUGAAGCAAUCACGCCAAAUAAACCAAUCACACAAAGAAAAGGAUAGGAGUAUACCUAAGCCGCAAUCCCAAGCACUUUCACGAAAACACUAAAGUUAGUUUAACAAAUAAUGCAACAUGCAAGAGACCAAGCUAUGAUCAAAGCAUAGGAAAGCAUAACCAAGCACAAAUC